CCUACGGGCGGCAGCAGUGAGGAAUAUUGGUCAAUGGGCGCGAGCCUGAACCAGCCAAGUAGCGUGAAGGAUGACUGCCCUACGGGUUGUAAACUUCUUUUAUAAAGGAAUAAAGAGAGGCACGUGUGCCUGGUUGUAUGUAUGUUAUGAAUAAGGAUCGGCUAACUCCGUGCCAGCAGCCGCGGUAAUACGGAGGAUCCGAGCGUUAUCCGGAUUUAUUGGGUUUAAAGGGAGCGUAGAUGGGUUGUUAAGUCAGUUGUGAAAUUUUGCGGCUCAACCGUAGAAUUGCAAUUGAUACUGGCAGCCUUGAGUUCAGUUGAGGUAGGCGGAAUUCGCGGUGUAGCGGUGAAAUGCUUAGAUAUCACGCAGAACUCCGAUUGCGAAGGCAGCCUACUAACCUGCCACUGACAUUGAUGCUCGAAAGUGUGGGUAUCAAACAGGAUUAGAUACCCGGGUAGUC
RNAcentral lists this ribosomal RNA (460 nucleotides) under uncultured bacterium. Its description in RNAcentral is "partial 16S ribosomal RNA". It matches the Rfam family "Bacterial small subunit ribosomal RNA", at positions 338 to 795 of the family's 1533-position model. The record is from RNAcentral.